Molecule: transfer RNA, 76 nt
Filed under: Caudoviricetes sp.
Lineage: Duplodnaviria; Heunggongvirae; Uroviricota; Caudoviricetes
Description: tRNA-Met
Rfam family: tRNA
About the family: Transfer RNA (tRNA) molecules are approximately 80 nucleotides in length. Their secondary structure includes four short double-helical elements and three loops (D, anti-codon, and T loops).
Source: RNAcentral
AGCGGUGUGGAGAAGUUGGUAUCUCGUCGGGUUCAUGCCCCGAAGGUCGGUGGUUCAAGUCCACCCACCGCCACCA